GACGAACGCUGGUGGCGUGCUUAACACAUGCAAGUCGUACGGUAAGGCCCUUUCGGGGGUACACGAGUGGCGAACGGGUGAGUAACACGUGAGUAACCUGCCCACAACUUUGGGAUAACGCUAGGAAACUGGUGCUAAUACUGGAUAUGUGCUCCUGCUGCAUGGUGGGGGUUGGAAAGCUCCGGCGGUUGUGGAUGGACUCGCGGCCUAUCAGCUUGUUGGUGGGGUAGUGGCCUACCAAGGCGGCGACGGGUAGCCGGCCUGAGAGGGUGACCGGCCACAUUGGGACUGAGAUACGGCCCAGACUCCUACGGGAGGCAGCAGUGGGGAAUAUUGCACAAUGGGCGCAAGCCUGAUGCAGCAACGCCGCGUGCGGGAUGACGGCCUUCGGGUUGUAAACCGCUUUCAGCAGGGACGAAGCUUUUUGUGACGGUACCUGCAGAAGAAGCACCGGCUAACUACGUG
This 465-nucleotide ribosomal RNA is filed under the name uncultured bacterium. RNAcentral's name for it is "partial 16S ribosomal RNA". It matches the Rfam family "Bacterial small subunit ribosomal RNA", at positions 28 to 507 of the family's 1533-position model. The record is from RNAcentral.